This 247-nucleotide ribosomal RNA is filed under the name uncultured bacterium. RNAcentral's name for it is "partial 16S ribosomal RNA". It matches the Rfam family "Bacterial small subunit ribosomal RNA", at positions 523 to 769 of the family's 1533-position model. The record is from RNAcentral.
AUACGUAGGUGGCGAGCGUUGUCCGGAAUUAUUGGGCGUAAAGGGCGCGUAGGCGGGAUAGUCAGUCUGUUGUAAAAGUUCGGGGCUCAACCCCGUAUAGGCGCAGGAAACUGGAGAUCUUGAGUGCAGGAGAGGAAAGUGGAAUUCCCAGUGUAGCGGUGAAAUGCGUAGAUAUUGGGAGGAACACCAGUGGCGAAGGCGACUUUCUGGACUGUGUCUGACACUGAGGCGCGAAAGCCAGGGGAGC